GGUCCGUUGGCCCAAUGGUAGGGCGUUGCUUUCCGGUUUCGAGCGUAAGAAGAUAUGUUCGGCCACUGGCAAAGAUUCUGGGUUCGAUCCCCAGGCGGAUCG
Molecule: non-coding RNA, 102 nt
Organism: Parachaetomium inaequale
Lineage: Eukaryota; Fungi; Ascomycota; Sordariomycetes; Sordariales; Chaetomiaceae
Source: the annotation of a GenBank genome assembly